Molecule: transfer RNA, 69 nt
Filed under: Ophiacantha linea
Lineage: Eukaryota; Metazoa; Echinodermata; Ophiuroidea; Amphilepidida; Ophiacanthidae
Description: tRNA-Ser
Source: RNAcentral
CGGGAAUAAGAGAAUGUUUUUGAUCUGCUAAAUCUAAAAGCCUGUAGUUUAAUUCUAUGGUAUUCCCGA